RNAcentral lists this ribosomal RNA (467 nucleotides) under uncultured bacterium. Its description in RNAcentral is "partial 16S ribosomal RNA". It matches the Rfam family "Bacterial small subunit ribosomal RNA", at positions 28 to 506 of the family's 1533-position model. The record is from RNAcentral.
GACGAACGCUGGCGGCGUGCUUAACACAUGCAAGUCGAACGGAAAGGCCCUGCUUUUGUGGGGUGCUCGAGUGGCGAACGGGUGAGUAACACGUGAGUAACCUGCCCUUGACUUUGGGAUAACUUCAGGAAACUGGGGCUAAUACCGGAUAGGAGCUCCUGCUGCAUGGUGGGGGUUGGAAAGUUUCGGCGGUUGGGGGUGGACUCGCGGCUUAUCAGCUUGUUGGUGGGGUAGUGGCUUACCAAGGCUUUGACGGGUAGCCGGCCUGAGAGGGUGACCGGCCACAUUGGGACUGAGAUACGGCCCAGACUCCUACGGGAGGCAGCAGUGGGGAAUAUUGCACAAUGGGCGGAAGCCUGAUGCAGCAACGCCGCGUGCGGGAUGACGGCCUUCGGGUGGUAAACCGCUUUCGCCUGUGACGAAGCGUGAGUGACGGUAAUGGGUAAAGAAGCACCGGCUAACUACGU